GGAAAAGUACCCAAGUGGCUCAAGGGGCUCCCCUGCUAAGGGAGUAGUGUGAGAUAAUCGCAGCGCGGGUUCAAAUCCCGCCUUUUCCGCCA
RNAcentral lists this transfer RNA (92 nucleotides) under Clostridia bacterium. RNAcentral's name for it is "tRNA-Ser". It matches the Rfam family "tRNA". From Rfam's summary of the family: Transfer RNA (tRNA) molecules are approximately 80 nucleotides in length. Their secondary structure includes four short double-helical elements and three loops (D, anti-codon, and T loops). The record is from RNAcentral. Lineage: Bacteria; Bacillati; Bacillota; Clostridia.